AACGUAGGAAGCGAGCGUUAUCCGGAUUUACUGGGCGUAAAGCGUGUGUAGGCGGUUUGACAAGUUGGAUGUGAAAGCUCCUGGCUUAACUGGGAGAGGUCGUUCAAAACUGUCAGACUCGAGAGUGGUAGAGGGAGGUGGAAUUCCGGGUGUAGUGGUGAAAUGCGUAGAUAUCCGGAGGAACACCAGUGGCGAAGGCGGCCACCUGGACCGAUAUUGACGCUGAGACGCGAAAGCGUGGGUAGCAAACAGGAUUAGAUACCCUAGUAGU
Molecule: ribosomal RNA, 271 nt
Filed under: uncultured bacterium
Lineage: Bacteria
Description: partial 16S ribosomal RNA
Rfam family: Bacterial small subunit ribosomal RNA
Source: RNAcentral